CCCAUCUCGAAGCGCCACAUGGGUCCGUCCAAGAACCACAAAGCGGAAGAUUAGAGUUCGAAGAAGCGAACGAUCACCUAAUCUAAUGAUUAAACGAUUUCAACGAACUCUGAUCAUCGCCGUUAUGUUAGCGUUACCGGUUGAGGCACAGAAGCAGUAAGUCUAUAGAUUUGAGGUAUGAUUUCCGGGAUUUUCACUUAAUUUAGGUUUAAAGUAGUUUCUAUUUGAUGUGAUUGUUAUUUUGUUCUUCACCACUCAAUUCAAUGUUAGGGUUUCUGAUAUAUUUUUGAAGUUUUUGUUAGUUUCAGUUUGCUCAUAGAUCUAAUUUUGUUUCCUCGUCUUGUUGAUUAACUGACUGGAGAUUAUAAAACUUGAAAUUUAGUAUGUGAGAUUUUGGAUUUGUAUUGAAGCUUGAGCAGUCGAAUUCGCUUUACUGAAAUGAAAAUUCAUAAUUGUGGAUAUGAUUGAGGUUUGCUGCUGUAGAAUGUUCAAUUUGGUUUCAAUGUUUCUUUGGAUGUGCUUGUUCUUUAACUGUGGGGUUGAAGAAGGAUUAGUUUAGCAUGAAAUCAAUUCAACACAGUUUUACAUAGUGCAGUCGUCAAAGUGAAAUAGUCCUUUGUUUGUACUGAAGUGAGUUUUAAUGGUUGUGAGUGAAAAUUGAUAUAGUUGAUGAAUAAUUACAGGAAAGGAAAGUCUUGGUCCUUACAAGCUAUUGCUUUCACUUGUCAUUGUAAUACGUUUGCAGGUACAGGCAUAUAGCUAACGUACAUUUGUUGAUUUCGGUGACUUUACCGGGAUCUUUGAGGAACCUUUGACUGAAAUUAAUGUGCACUAAUUUUCAUUUGAAAAUAUGCUUCCUUCCCUCCUCCCCUGGCCCAGUAUUGAGUAUCUUUUGUAAUUUGCAGGUUCUGUCUGCAUAAAGUUUGUCUUGAAGAAAAAAAAAUAGUCAAGGUUGUACUUCAUGGCCAGGAUAAAACCUCAGGCUUUGCUACUCCAAAGCAAAAAGAAGAAGGGGCCAACUCGUAUCAGUGCCACUACAAUAAUUCUGUGCAACCUAGUUGUUAUGUUGCUUGUAUUGUCCUUGGUUGCUACAUACAGGCAUUGGUCUCAGAGGUCUACGGAACAAACAGGACUAUCAAAUUUUGAGGCAUGUUUUGGGAACUUUCCGGAGAAAAGAAAAAAAAAAAACAGCAAAGAAUCCAUCUUUUCUCUUACUAUUUCAAUAAUUUCACAACAAAUGAGUUCAAAAUUAUGCUUUUUUAUCGUUCAAGUAAAUAUAUACUCAUUUAAGCUAAUUCCAUUUUAUGUGGUUCAGGACACUUCGGAUAUCUUAACAGAUUCAAAGAAGUAUGAUCUUCCGGGUUAUGCUGUAAGUUGUUGUGUUAACCUGCUCCCUGCUUUUAUCAUUCUUUCUCACACCUUUUUUAAUUAUCUUCUCUUUUACCUUAAUGGAUUUUUCCAUCGUGCUCAAAUCCUAUUUGCUUUCCUGUAUCGUUACUGGUAUUCUUUACAUUUGUUUAGUGUUGGUGUUUCAUUCCCCUGUAGGUUUUGAAUACAUCAAAGGGUUAUAUUACAGUAGAACUGUACAAAGAUGGUUCUCCUGAGAUUGUGGACAAAUUUCUCGACUCAUGUCAAAAGGGCUACUUCAAAGGGAUGCCUUUUCAUCAUGUGAUCAAACAUUAUGUAAUUCAAGGAGGGCAUUCCCAAGGUCUUGGAGGUACAGAAGAUUGGACUACAAAAGUGAAGCUUCGUAGUCGGCUUGCUACAAGCCCAAAGCAUGAGGCAUUUAUGCUUGGAACUUUGAAAACUAAAGACAGCCAAGGGUUUGAGAUAUUUAUUACCACUGCACCAAUUCCAGAUUUAAGUGAUAAGCUUAUGGUGUUUGGACGGGUCAUCAAGGGAGAGGAUGUAGUGCAGGAAAUCGAGGAGGUGGACACAGAUGAACACUAUCGGCCCAAAUCCCCUAUAGGGAUCAUCAAUGUGACUCUGAAAAGUGAAAUUUGAGUGCUAUUACUACUUGGUGUAAAUUUUUCCUAUGGGUAGUCAUAACACUCUGUGAUACCGCAUGCUGGAGAUUUCUCUCCAAGGUUGUUCAUGUGCUACAUUUUUCUUCAUACUUGCAUUUCCACUUAUCCACUCCAGUCUUUUUUGGGGUGGGGGGUUUUGGAGUUUACGGGGGCUGAAUUGUUUUGGGAAGUAAAGGGCCUUCAUAUUUUUGUGUAGGCAAAUACAACAUUCUGUUUAAUUCCAGUGAAGAUCUGUUGUGACCCCCUCUGUUAUUGUUGUUUGUCAUUUUUCAUACACUUGUUUGAUUUCUGUAAAAGGUGAUUAUUC
This 2334-nucleotide unclassified non-coding RNA is filed under the name Hevea brasiliensis (rubber tree). The record is from RNAcentral. Lineage: Eukaryota; Viridiplantae; Streptophyta; Magnoliopsida; Malpighiales; Euphorbiaceae.